AACUUUCAGCAACGGAUCUCUUGGUUCUGGCAUCGAUGAAGAACGCAGCGCAAUGCGAUAAGUAAUGUGAAUUGCAGAAUUCCGUGAAUCAUCGAAUCUUUGAACGCACAUUGCGCCCCCUGGUAUUCCGGGGGGCAUGCCUGUUCGAGCGUCAUUUCAACCCUCAACCCCUGCUGGGUGUUGGGCCGUGCCGGGCUCACCGGCUGGCCCCAAAAUCAGUGGCGGCGCCACCUUGGCUCCACGCGCAGUAGAUUUCUCUCGCGUCCGGAGGCCCUGGUGGCAGCUGGCCAGGCGAAACCCCCAACUUUCUCAGGUUGACCUCGGAUCAGGUAGGGAUACCCGCUGAACUUAAGCAUAUCAAUAAGCGGAGGCU
This 373-nucleotide unclassified non-coding RNA is filed under the name uncultured Ascomycota. RNAcentral's name for it is "sequence contains ITS2". The stretch from base 1 to 154 matches the Rfam family "5.8S ribosomal RNA". The record is from RNAcentral. Lineage: Eukaryota; Fungi; Ascomycota.